Molecule: small nuclear RNA, 342 nt
Filed under: Erinaceus europaeus (western European hedgehog)
Lineage: Eukaryota; Metazoa; Chordata; Mammalia; Eulipotyphla; Erinaceidae
Description: 7SK RNA (ENSEEUG00000019174.1)
Rfam family: 7SK RNA (bases 1-287)
About the family: 7SK was discovered as an abundant small nuclear RNA in the mid-70s but a possible function has only recently been suggested. Two independent studies have found that 7SK RNA binds the CDK9/cyclin T complex (known as elongation factor P-TEFb). P-TEFb activates transcription by phosphorylating the C-terminal domain of RNA polymerase II.
Source: RNAcentral
GGAUGUGAGGGCGAUCUGGCUGCGACAUCUGUCACCCCAUUGAUCGCCAGGGUUGAUUCGGCUGAUCUGGCUGGCUAGGCGGGUGUCCCCUUCCUCCCUCACCGCUCCAUGUGCGUCCCUCCCGAAGCUGCGCGCUCGGUCGAAGAGGACGGCCUUCCCCGAAUAAAGACGGACCGGUCUUUGGUCGAGGGUAUACGAGUAGCUGCGCUCCCCUGCUAGAACCUCCAAACAAGCUCUCAAGAAGGGGAAGUUGGGGAAGAAAGGAGAGAAGCAGGGAAGGGCAGGCAGGCAAUGUGGGUAUUGUAAAAGUAAGCAGUUUUAGAUGAAAGGUAAGUUGAAUGU